GUAGGUGGCAAGCGUUGUCCGGAAUUAUUGGGCGUAAAGCGCGCGCAGGCGGUUCUUUAAGUCUGAUGUGGAAGCCCACGGCUCAACCGUGGAGGGUCAUUGGAAACUGGAGAACUUGAGUACAGAAGAGGAAAGCGGAAUUCCACGUGUAGCGGUGAAAUGCGUAGAGAUGUGGAGGAACACCAGUGGCGAAGGUGGCUUUCUGGUCUGUAACUGACGCUGAGGCGCGAAAGCGUGGGGAGCAAACAGGAUUAGAUACCCUGGUAGUCCACGCCGUAAACGAUGAGUGCUAAGUGUUAGGGGGUUUCCGCCCCCCUUAGUGCUGCAGCUAACGCAUUAAGCACUCCGCCUGGGAGUACGGCCGCAAGGCUG
Molecule: ribosomal RNA, 372 nt
Filed under: uncultured organism
Description: partial 16S ribosomal RNA
Rfam family: Bacterial small subunit ribosomal RNA
Source: RNAcentral